GCUGCCCAGCUGGGGUCCAGAUGUGGCAGCUGUGUCACACGGAGCCCGAGAUGCAGCAGAUAAGAGGUCUGGUGGGCCUCGGUUUCGGGUCUGUUCCGCAGCGGUUCUAGUUUAUAUGUCGCGGUUGUUGCUAUCUGAACUUU
Molecule: small nucleolar RNA, 143 nt
Organism: Phyllopteryx taeniolatus (common seadragon)
Lineage: Eukaryota; Metazoa; Chordata; Actinopteri; Syngnathiformes; Syngnathidae
Product: small nucleolar RNA SNORA17
Exons: 1
Source: RefSeq, a predicted model, not a curated record